AGAGUUUGAUCAUGGCUCAGAUUGAACGCUGGCGGUAUGCUUAACACAUGCAAGUCGAACGGAAACGAUGGUAGCUUGCUACCAGGCGUCGAGUGGCGGACGGGGGAGUAACGCGUAGGAAUCUGCCCAGUAGUGGGGGACAACCAGGGGAAACCCUGGCUAAUACCGCAUACACCCUACGGGGAAAAGAGGGCCUCUUCUUGAAAGCUCUUGCUAUUGGAUGAGCCUGCGUGAGAUUAGCUAGUUGGUGAGGUAAAAGCUCACCAAGGCGACGAUCUCUAGCUGGUCUGAGAGGACGAUCAGCCACACUGGGACUGAGACACGGCCCAGACUCCUACGGGAGGCAGCAGUGGGGAAUAUUGGACAAUGGGCGCAAGCCUGAUCCAGCAAUACCGCGUGUGUGAAGAAGGCCUGAGGGUUGUAAAGCACUUUCAAUUGUGAAGAAAAGCCUGGGGUCAAUAACCCCGGGUCUUGACGUUAACUUUAGAAGAAGCACCGGCUAACUCUGUGCCAGCAGCCGCGGUAAUACAGAGGGUGCGAGCGUUAAUCGGAAUUACUGGGCGUAAAGCGUACGUAGGCGGUUUAGUAAGUCAGAUGUGAAAGCCCUGGGCUCAACCUGGGAAUUGCAUUUGAAACUGCUGAACUAGAGUGUGGUAGAGGGAAGUGGAAUUAGUGGUGUAGGGGUAAAAUCCGUAGAUAUCACUAGGAAUACCCAAAGCGAAGGCGAUCUCCUGGAACAUUACUGACGCUAAGGCGUGAAAGCGUGGGGAGCAAACGGGAUUAGAUACCCCGGUAGUCCACGCCCUAAACGAUGAACACUAGUCGUCGGGAUGCUUGUCAUCUCGGUGAUGCACUUAACAGAUUAAGUGUUCCGCCUGGGGAGUACGGUCGCAAGAUUAAAACUCAAAGGAAUAGACGGGGACCCGCACAAGUGGUGGAGCAUGUGGUUUAAUUCGAAAAUACGCGAAGAACCUUACCUAGCCUUGACAUUGAUUGAACGGACCAGAGAUGGACCGGUGCCCUUCGGGGAACAUGAAAACAGGUGCUGCACGGCUGUCGUCAGCUCGUGUCGUGAGAUGUUGGGUUAAGUCCCGCAACGAGCGCAACCCUCGUCCUUAGUUGCCAGCAGGUUAAGCUGGGCACUCUAAGGAGACUGCCUUCGUAAGGAGGAGGAAGGUGAGGACGACGUCAAGUCAUCAUGGCCCUUAUGGCUAGGGCUACACACGUGCUACAAUGGGGCGUACAGAGAGUUGCGAUACCGCGAGGUGGAGCGAAUCCCACAAAGCUUGUCGUAGUCCGGAUCGGAGUCUGCAACUCGACUCCGUGAAGUCGGAAUCGCUAGUAAUCGUAGAUCAGAAUGCUACGGUGAAUACGUUCCCGGGCCUUGUACACACCGCCCGUCACACCAUGGGAGUGGGUUGCAAAAGAAGUAGCUAGUCUAACCUUCGGGAGGACGGUUACCACUUUGUGAUUCAUGACUGGGGUGAAGUCGUAACAAGGUAACC
RNAcentral lists this ribosomal RNA (1505 nucleotides) under uncultured prokaryote. RNAcentral's name for it is "partial 16S ribosomal RNA". It matches the Rfam family "Bacterial small subunit ribosomal RNA". The record is from RNAcentral.